AUCCCAUGACUAGGGCACUUCCUCAAGAAUUCCAUGUACCUUUCCCAUGCCUCGUACAAAGUUUUAGACUCCAUCUGUCAGAAAUAAGAUAUAUCAUAUCUGAGUUU
Small nucleolar RNA from Dioscorea cayenensis subsp. rotundata (Guinea yam), 107 nucleotides. The record is from RefSeq and is a predicted model, not a curated record. Lineage: Eukaryota; Viridiplantae; Streptophyta; Magnoliopsida; Dioscoreales; Dioscoreaceae.